CUUCUUUUCUCAUCCUCAUUCUCCAGGUGGACGCCUGAUUUCUUUAAUUCUCAUCCUCAUUCUCAGGUGGACGCCUGACUUCUUCUUUUCUUCAUCCUCAUUCUCCAGGUGGGCGCCUGACUUCUUCUUUUCUUCAUCCUCAUUCUCCAGGUGGACGCCUGACUUCUUCUUUUCUUUACCAGGUAUUUCCUGACACAAAUAUUGUAUUUGCCCCUGUUUUAAAUCAAAGAAAACUUCGUUAGUUUAAAGCAGGGUGGUUGACUGGGGUAUUCUUGCCGAUGGUGAUGCUUCUCUUCGUUUCUCUUUAUUGCCUUGGAAUGGUUGAAAAGACUGUUUUGUCCUUGUAAUUGAUCCUUGACUAUAGGAUUCCCCUCUGUAUGUUUUCCUUCAAACCCUUUUAACUGUAAUCAUAUGUCCCUUCUGACUUUACUGAUCCACUUUUGAUUUCACCUUUCUUACACCCAUAUCUUUUAUCUCCCACCUUUCGUGGUUGUAUUUUGUAACCUUGAAUCUUGGUAGUAUACCUUGACAUUCCUUCUUAUUUGUUUGGAAUAAAACUUAUCCCAAAGCUUUUAGAAAAGUAAGAUUAUUAGUAACGAAAUACGCUGAUUUCGACAAUUAUAGAAUGAAAAGAAAAAUCCAAAUUUGGAUGACUGUUGGAAAAGGAAUAAAGGACUUAUCUGAUUGGAAUCACUGGCGCCAAUGAUCAGGGUAUGCAUUUUGGAUUAAUCAACCCAGUCUUUUAAUCAAUCUCCUUUUAAUUGUCUCAUUUUUGUUUUCCCCAAAAUUUCCGUAAUCCAUCUUCAUUUUUCAUUUCACAGACCUGUUGGACUUGCAAUAUCUUAAAGAGUUUUCACCGACAAACUUUCCUCAUUUUUUUCACUUCCUUUUCGCCUUAUGGUGCCUACGAAGGUUUUCACCAAUAAGACUCUCUCAUUUUACUUUUCUCUCAACUUCCGUCGCCUUAUGGUGCCCGUGUGGGUUUUCACCUAUAAGACUCUCUCAUUUUUACUUUCUUUUCUUGUUUGUACCAGAGUGUUAUGAACCAUCUUU
Molecule: long non-coding RNA, 1053 nt
Filed under: Nicotiana tabacum (common tobacco)
Lineage: Eukaryota; Viridiplantae; Streptophyta; Magnoliopsida; Solanales; Solanaceae
Description: long non-coding RNA (NTAB_LNC014948)
Source: RNAcentral